This 576-nucleotide ribosomal RNA is filed under the name Triticum aestivum (bread wheat). RNAcentral's name for it is "partial small subunit ribosomal RNA". The record is from RNAcentral. Lineage: Eukaryota; Viridiplantae; Streptophyta; Magnoliopsida; Poales; Poaceae.
AUGUGCUUUGUAAACCGCUACUUGGAAGACCUCGACAUCGUCUCUGUUAGGAAACCUGCAGCUAAUAUACGUUUGCCUCAACAGCGAUCAAGGGGAUGGAUUUCUCCUGGAGAGGAAGCGGCAAAGAUUAAUGUAGAUGGAGCUGUUUCGCGGAAUGGCAGAGCAGGUGCAGCGGCGGCGAUUUGCAGGGACAAGGACGGAAAUUAUUUGGGUGCUUCAGCAGUCACUUUUGACGACCUGGUUGACGCUGCAGGGCUCGAAGCUCAUGCAUGCAGUGAAGCCCUGGCUCUUGCCAAAGAUCUCAACAUCUCACGCGUCAUCAUCGCGUCUGAUUGCCUGCAAGUCGUCUCCGAUAUUAAUGGACGGGUGCUUUCUUCUUAUGCCCUUGUCUUAGAGGAGAUAAAAGAGACUAUGAGAGAUUUUGCUAGAGUUUGUUAUAGAUAUGAAUGUAGGGAAGCAAAUUCUGAAGCUCAUGCCAUUGCUAAGGCUGCUUCAUCGCUCCCUGCAGGUCGCCACUUGUGGCUGGGGAUCCUACCGGACAUUACUUGUAUUUCUUCUUCGGUUCAUCAUGAAUAA